AACUCUCCCAGAGCACUGGAGCAUGGUGCUGCUGAUGCAAAGUGGCUCUCUAUGGAAAUGCUCUGACUGACUCCAACAGGGACCUGGAUUACUCUGAUAAACUGAUUGAUCCAUUGAUAAUCAGCAUCAUCAAAGUAUUAUUUCAGGACGUUUAAAUACAGUUUUUAUUAGGUUUUCCAUCUUGAAAACUUGGUCUCGAAAUGUUCGAUUCAGGGUCCCAAGAGCCGGCCGGAAAAACUAUAAAAGUCUCUUAUUACCUGUUACAUAUAGGUGUUGAUCACAGGAUGACUGCAUCAGACACUUGAUAUGUUAUUUGCCUCAAUGUAUUGUUUGUAUAACUCAUUGGCUGCUACCUGCCCAUUAGUACAAUUGUAUUUAUAUGAUUAUGUGUAUUGUCUGUUUUUAAGGUGUGAUGAGUUAAAGGCAUUGUAUGUACCUGGAGAAGCCAAAGACAUUCUUCCAAAGAAGUCAAUCUAAGCUAAUUUAAUAUCUGUAAAAUAAAACAAAUAUACUGUAUUGUAUAAAAAUGUGCAUUAGGAAAUCUGUUGUUGUUAUCAGUUUUCAUGUUAUCUGUAAAAUCUUCUAACAGAGACCUAUCUUGGUGAGUUUGUUUGUGUCAAAGUCAGAGAGCCGUGUCUCUCUACAGUGAGAGGUUUUUGUACGGCGGCUCAAUGAGUUUGUAUCACUGUGGUACACGUUCGGUGGAGGAACCAGACUGGAUGUUGGAAGUAAGUCAAAUAUCUUACAUUUUUAACAAUUCUAGCCAUCUGUCUUUCUGUUUUUAUAUAUUACACAGUCCAGGAAAAAGAUAGCUGCUUUACCAUUUUUGUGGAUACGUUUUUGACAAAGACUUUGCACUCAGAGACUUCAGCAACAUAACUUCAAAAACUACUUUUAAUGAAAAAAAUGUUUUUAAAUAACAGGAUGAAUGAUUAUUACCAUCUUCAGUGGUAGUGUUGCAUCUUUAGGGCUUGUAGGUUUAGUUCAGUCAGACAAAGUCAGAGAGCCGUGUCUCUCUACAGUGAGAGGUUUUUGUACGGCGGCUCAAUGAGUUUGUAUCACUGUGGUUGACUUUUGGUGGAGGAACCAGACUGGAUGUUGGAAGUGAUGCCCGUCCCACCCUGACGGUGCUGCCCCCCUCCACUGAGCAGCUGCAGCAGGGGAAGGCCACGCUCAUGUGCCUGGCCAACAAGGGCUUCCCCUCAGACUGGAGUCUGGCCUGGAAGGUGGACGGCAGCAGCAGCAGCAGCAGCAGCAGCAUCAGCUGGGAGCAGAGCAGCAGCCCCGGGGUGCUGGAGAAGGACGGCCACUACAGCUGGAGCAGCACCCUGAGGCUCUCUGCAGACCAGUGGAGGAAGGUGGGCUCUGUGACCUGUGAGGCCACCCAGGGCUCCCAGACUCCGCUCUCAGAGACUCUGAGGAGAGACCAGUGUCCCCAGUCCUGAUCUGACUCACUGGUUUUACUCUGCUACUGCUCUCAGUCUGCACUCUUUCUCUGUUUCUCUUAUGAUGUUUCAACAUUAACUUGUUCUUGCUUGUGUUGUUAGUUUUAACAUUUUCAAACAAUAAAGAAUUCCAUCGUAGAUUAUAAAAGUGACGGGUCUUUUGAAUUUCUUUCUUUCACAAGUGUGAAUCAGAUUAAUGCGCCAAAGUGACAAUCGUAAGAAGUACAUUUUCUCCUGAUUCAUUUUCAAUUGUUUUAAGACUGUAGACAUGCAGCAGCCAUUUCUAUGGUAAAUCACAAAGCUAUAAUGGUGCCCCGUGUGAGGCAUUGUACAGUUGGCAAUUGUUCUGCACUUUGUAACUCUCUCUUCGUUAUUGCUAGUGUUCAACAUUUUAAAGCAAUAAAAAUUUG
Centropristis striata (black sea bass) is the source of this 1855-nucleotide non-coding RNA. The record is from the annotation of a RefSeq genome assembly. NCBI's taxonomy places the organism in Eukaryota, Metazoa, Chordata, Actinopteri, Perciformes, Serranidae.